This 60-nucleotide non-coding RNA is filed under the name unclassified sequences. The record is from RNAcentral.
GGUGUAAAGUAGCCACCGUUUCGGUGCAGGUUGCAAGCCCUGGUAAAUACUGAGCGAGCC